Molecule: ribosomal RNA, 253 nt
Filed under: uncultured bacterium
Lineage: Bacteria
Description: partial 16S ribosomal RNA
Rfam family: Bacterial small subunit ribosomal RNA
Source: RNAcentral
UACAGAGGUCUCAAGCGUUGUUCGGAUUCAUUGGGCGUAAAGGGCGCGUAGGCUGCGGGGCAAGUCGGGUGUGAAAUCUCAGAGCUCAACUCUGAAACUGCACUCGAUACUGCUUUGCUUGAGGACUGGAGAGGAGAUUGGAAUUCACGGUGUAGCAGUGAAAUGCGUAGAUAUCAGGAGGAACACCAAUAGCGAAGGCAGCUCGCUGGGACGGUACUGACGCUAAGGCGCGAAAGCGUGGGGAGCGAACAGG